UUACCGGAUUAGCUGAGAGGUGGUGCAUGGCCGUCGUCAGUUCGUACUGUGAAGCAUCCUGUUAAGUCAGGCAACGAGCGCAGCCCUCGACCUUAGUUGCCAGCAUUCAGUUGGGCACUCUAAGGUGACUGCCGGCUAAAAGUCGGAGGAAGUGGGGAUGACGUCAAAUCAUCAUGCCCCUUAUGACCUGGGCUACACACGUGCUACAAUGGGCGGUACAAAGGGUCGCGAACCCGCGAGGGGGAGCCAAUCCCAAAAAGCCGCUCUCAGUUCGGAUUGCAGGCUGCAACUCGCCUGCAUGAAGCCGGAAUCGCUAGUAAUCGCGGAUCAGCAUGCCGCGGUGAAUACGUUCCCGGGCCUU
This 361-nucleotide ribosomal RNA is filed under the name uncultured Anoxybacillus sp. Its description in RNAcentral is "bacterial SSU rRNA". It matches the Rfam family "Bacterial small subunit ribosomal RNA", at positions 1019 to 1382 of the family's 1533-position model. The record is from RNAcentral. Lineage: Bacteria; Bacillati; Bacillota; Bacilli; Caryophanales; Anoxybacillaceae.